RNAcentral lists this long non-coding RNA (983 nucleotides) under Marmota monax (woodchuck). Lineage: Eukaryota; Metazoa; Chordata; Mammalia; Rodentia; Sciuridae. The record is from RNAcentral.
GACCAACACUGUGACUCCACUGAUCUGAGUCAGAGCCACAAAGGAGGUAGAAUGGAGUUUACCAGGGGCUGGGGAAGAGCACGGAGGGUCAGUGUUAAAUGGGGACAGAUUCCAGUUUGGGAUGAAGAAAACAUUCUGGAGGUGGAUGGUGGUGAUGGCCACACUUCAUGUAGCUAAAGUGUGUACACUUAAAAAUGGCCAAAAUGGUAAAUUUUAUGGGAUGUGUAUUUUACCCCCAUCAUGAGCAAUUUGCAGAGAGAAACUGAUACUGCAAAUAGUUGGCCUGGUUUUAUGGAGGUGUGCUUUCUGUUUCAGGCAAUCCCUCCAUCGAUCACAAACAUAUUCCAGACUUGCUCUAUAUUGGGUAAUUCAGAAGCUCAUGAAAGAAGUGAAAGGCAUGCCCUCCUGCCAGUGGAGUCCAGAGAAGGGUGCACCGGCAUGCGUGUGGGGAAGCAUAAGGUGUCUACAGAAUGAUCAUGUGCUCCUCAUGAUACCUGAUAAAGAGGCAAGGAAACGAAAGAAAGCUGGAGAAUGGGGACAGCUGUGAGGGGAAGGUUGGAGAAAAGGGGUGACCAUUGAAGAUGGCGGCAUUGGCUGGGCCCAAGGCAAGGCUGAGCUAUUGGAAGGAGAGAGCAGAGCAGAACAGUCCUGUGGGAAAAUCAGAGAAACAGGGCUCGAGUGCCAGGCAAAGUGCUUUAGAACUGAAUCACCAAGGGGCCGAUUUUGAAUUGGAAAAUACCAUUCAAAAAACAUUUGUUAGUGUCAGGAGCUGGGAUUUGGAGAGGGAAGCUCAGUUCAGGGUGGCCUGUAUUUUUUGUCUCUGCAGCCACCUUCUUUUGCAGAAUGGGACCAACUCUUUCUACUAUAGAUAGCCUCCUACCUGGGUUUGGAUUCGGCUCUCCAUGUGCUGAACGUAGCUAAAGCUCCCCGGGCCAACCAGCUUCUUCCAGCUUCCCAGCUUUUGUUUUGGCAACACAUUCUAG